UUUCAAACAAGGAUUUAAUGGCAUCCUGGGAGCUGCCACCAACCGUCCUUCAACCAAGGAGAAGCAUACCAAGGUGGUAUGUAUCAGACACUGAUUUAUGAAAGGAAACCAACCGCGUUCCCAUAGGGUACAUCUACUGUCAGUGCUGACCCAUAUUUUACAGAUGAUGGUUCUCCAGACGACAAAAUGCAGUUCCCAGUCACCUUCAGUCACAGAGUGGAUUCAAAGCCAGCCCAGACUACGGGAGACCCCGUCUUAAACAAGUAUGUCGUCCUAACAUUAACUUGCAUAGCUUCCCCCAGCAGACACACCAAGCUCCUACU
This 323-nucleotide long non-coding RNA is filed under the name Rattus norvegicus (Norway rat). Its description in RNAcentral is "long non-coding RNA NONRATT031925". The record is from RNAcentral. Lineage: Eukaryota; Metazoa; Chordata; Mammalia; Rodentia; Muridae.